Molecule: ribosomal RNA, 161 nt
Filed under: uncultured bacterium
Lineage: Bacteria
Description: partial 16S ribosomal RNA
Rfam family: Bacterial small subunit ribosomal RNA
Source: RNAcentral
UCCUACGGGAGGCAGCAGUGGGGAAUAUUGGACAAUGGGGGAAAGCCUGAUCCAGCAAUGCCGCGUGUGUGAAGAAGGCCUUCGGGUUGUAAAGCACUUUUAUCAGGAACGAAUUCUGUAAGGUUAAUAAGUGAUUUCUGACGGUACCGAGAAUAGCUCCG